RNAcentral lists this non-coding RNA (106 nucleotides) under Botrimarina mediterranea. Lineage: Bacteria; Pseudomonadati; Planctomycetota; Planctomycetia; Pirellulales; Lacipirellulaceae. The record is from RNAcentral.
UAGAGCCGGAUGCUGCGAGAGUAGCUUGUCCGGCUCGAUGGGGGCUAUUUGGAGUAGUCCUCGUGCCUUUGUUUGGUACGAGCGUAAUCCCAAAUUUCUACCCAAU